Molecule: long non-coding RNA, 381 nt
Organism: Carassius auratus (goldfish)
Lineage: Eukaryota; Metazoa; Chordata; Actinopteri; Cypriniformes; Cyprinidae
Exons: 3
Source: RefSeq, a predicted model, not a curated record
GUGCGGAUUGAAAGGGCCGUGUAAAUGAAUUGAUCUGAAUGAUGUGUGGGAACUGGUUUGUUAACAACUCAUGGACCGCUGAUGGUUUUUUCCAGCCGGUGAGCCUUGAUGUCUGUAAUGGGAGCACUUGUUGGUGUAUAUUUGGGACAGUAGUGCACUCAGCAGUGAAAUGCGUCGCACCUGAACUCAGCACCUGCUGCUCUUCAGCCGAAUAGACACGAGCUUCAGACUCACACCCGAGAUAAUCAGACAGCUUUUCAUGCUUUGAUUCCUCUCAUCACUGAACACACAGGUCAGACACGCAUGAGCUGAUUCUGUGCAGGAAGCUGGAUGUGCUGUUUUAUGAAUGAAUGGAAUCGGUCAGAGGUUCAUAACUCGCCA